CAGUAGCCGCGGUAAUACGUAGGUGGCAAGCGUUGUCCGGAAUUAUUGGGCGUAUAGGGCUCGCAGGCGGUUUCUUAAGUCUGAUGUGAAAGCCCCCGGCUCAACCGGGGAGAGUCAUUGGAAACUGGGAAACUUGAGUGCAGAAGAGGAGAGUGGAAUUCCACGUGUAGCGGUGAAAUGCGUAGAGAUGUGGAGGAACACCAGUGGCGAAGGCGACUCUCUGGUCUGUAACUGACGCUGAGGAGCGAAAGCGUGGGGAGCGAACAGGAUUAGAUACCCCCGUAGUCCCUGUCUCUUAUAA
This 301-nucleotide ribosomal RNA is filed under the name uncultured bacterium. RNAcentral describes it as "partial 16S ribosomal RNA". It matches the Rfam family "Bacterial small subunit ribosomal RNA", at positions 509 to 809 of the family's 1533-position model. The record is from RNAcentral.